CGAGGAAUAUUGGUCAAUGGGGGCAACCCUGAACCAGCCAAGUCGCGUGAAGGAUGAAGGUCUUAUGGAUUGUAAACUUCUUUUAUACAGGAAUAAAUUGGGGGACGUGUCCCCUUUUGCAUGUACUGUACGAAUAAGGAUCGGCUAACUCCGUGCCAGCAGCCGCGGUAAUACGGAGGAUCCGAGCGUUAUCCGGAUUUAUUGGGUUUAAAGGGUGCGCAGGCGGGAUGUUAAGUCGGCGGUGAAAUUUUGCAGCUCAACUGUAAAAGUGCCUUCGAUACUGGCCUCCUUGAGUGUGGAUGAAGUAGGCGGAAUUUGUGGUGUAGCGGUGAAAUGCUUAGAUAUCACGAGGAACUCCGAUUGCGCAGGCAGCUUACUAAGCCACAACUGACGCUCAUGCACGAAGGCGUGGGGAUCAAACA
This 422-nucleotide ribosomal RNA is filed under the name uncultured bacterium. Its description in RNAcentral is "bacterial SSU rRNA". It matches the Rfam family "Bacterial small subunit ribosomal RNA", at positions 355 to 774 of the family's 1533-position model. The record is from RNAcentral.